AAUUUUCUAAUUUUGUCUGUCCUUCCCACUAUUUCCUUCAAUUUUCAGAGGCAGCAGUGUUUGAGCUGUAGUUAUCGGGUUUUCCUGGCUCUUUCUCAGAAGACUGGAACAAGGACUUCAUUCCCUGUUCCUGAAAUGGGCCUUUCCUGUGCUGAUCCUCUCCUGGUUCAUACAGCCCAUGUACAAACAGUCUGCUUCUCAGGAUGAAAACAACUCAGUCAACCAGGCGCCAUGGAGGCAUCCCUCAGUCACUUGGCACCCCUGGGCAGGCCACAAAUUCUCACUGUGCUCCUGUGUUCAGUGAGAGCGAUCAGGCUCUGCUCUACCAAAGGAAAACGGGCCUUGAGUGGCUGGGUGCUUGGUGCUUGGCCUGCAGUGCUAUGGAGGGUGAAGGGGAGCCGGCUUGCCUCACUGUCCUGGAUGACCGCGGUGUCUUCAUUCUGAGAAGCCGACAUUUGCACGUGGGCACUAAGAACCGAGAGGGGAACAGCAUUGGAAGAGCCCUUGCCAGGAAUGAGGGAACCAAGUCCUUGCUGCAGGUUCCUGAGCAAGAGCCCUCAGAACCCUAUAGAACCCUCUGCUCAAGCACUACUACCUCCCUCAACUAAAGGGAUAGGUGGCGGGGAUGGACCAAGCCAGAAAUCCCUGGCUCCUGAAGAAAGAAGGCAGGCUUCUUGCUGACAGGGCUCCCAAGUGUAGUCCUGCAGAGGACGCUUUUUGUCAAAGCCCACAGGCCUUUCUUAUUCUGUGUACAACCUGAUUGAAAAGAGACUGUGCUGGGUCCUUUGUUCUCUAGUUUCUCCAAAUCAUGUGUGAUGAAGAACUCUAGCAGUGUGUGUCUUCUUUGCCACCCCUGAGCCCUUUGGAUGAAAGCCUGUUUGUGGGGAAAGUAUUCUGACACAGUAUCUCAGAGUACUACCGUCUUCUUUCGGCUUGGAGGUUUGGUUGGUGUUUUAGUGGUGGUGAUAGAGAUGGUGUUUAGUUGAUGGUUUCAUUGGGCAAUUUUCAAUAUGGUUUCAGAUGACGAGGCCCUUCCCAAAAACAGGGUGUGUGCAGGUGUCCAGAGACACUGCCGUGUGGGUAGGCUAUGGCAGAGGUUGGGGGUGGAUCCCGCCUCCUUUAUGGGACAAGGGGAAGGUCGUGGUCUCUUUUCUCGUUGUCCUCCAUGCCAAUUAGAAGGCACAGCUUUGACUCACCUAUCGUCAUUGCUGUCCCAUUGCUGCUUUCCUAACUUGGUCUCAGUUCACACACGGAGACCCUGUGUCUGUCCCCUACAACAACCAAGGUCCCUGCAGGGAGAUGCGUUUCCAAGCCUUUCCUGAACCAAUGCAGGGCUCGCAGAGUCUGAUAUCCCAGAGGACACCAAGGCCCCCUGUCCCUGAGCCCUUGGUGCUGGCAGGCCACGGUAUCGUGAGAAUGGGUAGCCAUGUGGACCCGCCCCAAAUGGAUGGAGCUACCGUCAUUCGGAAGAAUAGUCUGUGCGUGUGCAGCAUGCUCCAUGAC
Molecule: long non-coding RNA, 1503 nt
Filed under: Lynx canadensis (Canada lynx)
Lineage: Eukaryota; Metazoa; Chordata; Mammalia; Carnivora; Felidae
Description: lncRNA (ENSLCNG00005015199.1)
Source: RNAcentral